This 460-nucleotide ribosomal RNA is filed under the name uncultured bacterium. RNAcentral describes it as "bacterial SSU rRNA". It matches the Rfam family "Bacterial small subunit ribosomal RNA", at positions 917 to 1382 of the family's 1533-position model. The record is from RNAcentral.
GACCCCGCACAAGCGGUGGAUCAUGUUGUUUAAUUCGAAGAUACGCGAAGAACCUUACCAGGUCUUGACAUACUCUGCAAUGCUAUAGAGAUAUAGCGGAGGUUAUCAGAUGUACAGGUGGUGCAUGGUUGUCGUCAGCUCGUGUCGUGAGAUGUUGGGUUAAGUCCCGUAACGAGCGCAACCCCUAUUGCUAGUUGCCAUCAUUAAGUUGGGGACUCUAGCGAGACUGCCAGUGAUAAACUGGAGGAAGGUGGGGAUGACGUCAAAUCAUCAUGCCCCUUAUGACCUGGGCUACAAACGUGAUACAAUGGCUGGAACAAAGGGAUGCGAAGCAGUGAUGUGGAGCUAAACCCAGAAAAACAGUCUCAGUUCGGAUUGAAGUCUGCAACUCGACUUCAUGAAGCCGGAAUCGCUAGUAAUCGUGGAUCAGAACGCCACGGUGAAUACGUUCUCGGGGUUU